CCCAGACUCCUACGGGAGGCAGCAGUAGGGAAUCUUCCGCAAUGGACGAAAGUCUGACGGAGCAACGCCGCGUGAGUGAUGAAGGUUUUCGGAUCGUAAAGCUCUGUUGUUAGGGAAGAACAAGUGCCGUUCAAAUAGGGCGGCACCUUGACGGUACCUAACCAGAAAGCCACGGCUAACUACGUGCCAGCAGCCGCGGUAAUACGUAGGUGGCAAGCGUUGUCCGGAAUUAUUGGGCGUAAAGGGCUCGCAGGCGGUUUCUUAAGUCUGAUGUGAAAGCCCCCGGCUCAACCGGGGAGGGUCAUUGGAAACUGGGGAACUUGAGUGCAGAAGAGGAGAGUGGAAUUCCACGUGUAGCGGUGAAAUGCGUAGAGAUGUGGAGGAACACCAGUGGCGAAGGCGACUCUCUGGUCUGUAACUGACGCUGAGGAGCGAAAGCGUGGGGAGCGAACAGGAUUAGAUACCCUGGUAGUCCACGCCGUAAACGAUGAGUGCUAAGUGUUAGGGGGUUUCCGCCCCUUAGUGCUGCAGCUAACGCAUUAAGCACUCCGCCUGGGGAGUACGGUCGCAAGACUGAAACUCAAAGGAAUUGACGGGGGCCCGCACAAGCGGUGGAGCAUGUGGUUUAAUUCGAAGCAACGCGAAGAACCUUACCAGGUCUUGACAUCCUCUGACAAUCCUAGAGAUAGGACGUCCCCUUCG
Molecule: ribosomal RNA, 702 nt
Filed under: Bacillus sp. (in: firmicutes)
Lineage: Bacteria; Bacillati; Bacillota; Bacilli; Caryophanales; Bacillaceae
Description: bacterial SSU rRNA
Rfam family: Bacterial small subunit ribosomal RNA
Source: RNAcentral